GUCCAAUUUGCAAAUAUCAACCAUGUAAUGGAGCAGCAUGACAUUCUGUGGAAUAUCAAGACAGUCAAGACCCUGCUGCAUUAUGAGGGAGAACAGGAACAUUGACAGAGACUUGAGCUGACACCUUGUGUGGAAUUAAAGAAUGCAGAGAAUCAGUAUUAACUCUCGGGAUCCUGGACCUAGUGUAAAUGGAGCUCUCUACGAACUCUUCAGGAGUCCCUCAACUUACCCAUCAAAAUGUUUUACAGAUUGCAUCAUCUUGAGAUGAGCAGCUGCUUCAUCUUUGGUAAGAAGAAUGCAGUUCCAGGGGGACCACUCCAGGGAUUUAUUCCAUCUGACCAUGACCAGAUCACUGAGAUUGUCGCAAGCACUGAGGACUGACUGGGACGCCCAGAUGUUCUCUGUCAGGAGAAAUCUGACUAAUACAACAUGGAAUAUUGAGCCAGCACUUCUUGGUGACUUACAUUAAAGCCCUAGUACAUCUAAGAUUCUCUACAAGGAAAUAUACAUCUGUCAUGUCAAUAAUUCCUGAAUAAAAGUAGCAAAUAAGAAUUUAAGCUGAAAUAAACAUCAAAUUUAUUAACAAAAUAUUCAUUCUAUUGGACAAAAUAUGUAAUCAUUUUAAUUUGUGCUUUUCAAACUGUGGGUUGCUACCUCUUGGGUGAUACCAAAGUUUUCCAAAUGGAAAUC
RNAcentral lists this long non-coding RNA (690 nucleotides) under Homo sapiens (human). RNAcentral's name for it is "HSALNT0343083". Lineage: Eukaryota; Metazoa; Chordata; Mammalia; Primates; Hominidae. The record is from RNAcentral.